UACGGAGGGGACUAGCGUUGUUCGGAAUUACUGGGCGUAAAGCGUACGUAGGCGGAUCAGAAAGUAUGGGGUGAAAUCCCAGGGCUCAACCCUGGAACUGCCUCAUAAACUCCUGGUCUUGAGUUCGAGAGAGGUGAGUGGAAUUCCGAGUGUAGAGGUGAAAUUCGUAGAUAUUCGGAGGAACACCAGUGGCGAAGGCGGCUCACUGGCUCGAUACUGACGCUGAGGUACGAAAGUGUGGGGAGCAAACAGGAUUAGAUACCCCCGUA
This 269-nucleotide ribosomal RNA is filed under the name uncultured prokaryote. RNAcentral's name for it is "partial 16S ribosomal RNA". It matches the Rfam family "Bacterial small subunit ribosomal RNA", at positions 524 to 792 of the family's 1533-position model. The record is from RNAcentral.